GCGUUGAUUUUGCUGGGGCGAGGAUCGGAUUUCGAUUCCGAGGGUCGGGAGUUCGAAUCUCUCCGAGCGCGCCA
RNAcentral lists this transfer RNA (74 nucleotides) under Bradyrhizobium sp. 2S1. Its description in RNAcentral is "tRNA-Arg". Lineage: Bacteria; Pseudomonadati; Pseudomonadota; Alphaproteobacteria; Hyphomicrobiales; Nitrobacteraceae. The record is from RNAcentral.